GUUGGUGGAGUGAUUUGUCUGGUUAAUUCCGUUAACGAACGAGACCUCGACCUACUAACUAGUAACACGAAUUCUGAAUUCGUUGUAACUUCUUAGAGGGACUAUUGGUGGCUAACCAAUGGAAGUUCGAGGCAAUAACAGGUCU
RNAcentral lists this ribosomal RNA (145 nucleotides) under uncultured eukaryote. Its description in RNAcentral is "partial small subunit ribosomal RNA". It matches the Rfam family "Eukaryotic small subunit ribosomal RNA", at positions 1297 to 1463 of the family's 1831-position model. The record is from RNAcentral.